RNAcentral lists this ribosomal RNA (253 nucleotides) under uncultured bacterium. RNAcentral describes it as "partial 16S ribosomal RNA". It matches the Rfam family "Bacterial small subunit ribosomal RNA", at positions 524 to 776 of the family's 1533-position model. The record is from RNAcentral.
GACGUAGGAUGCAAGCGUUGUCCGGAAUUAUUGGGCGUAAAGAGCUCGUAGGCGGUUUGUCGCGUCUGCUGUGAAAACUCGGGGCUUAACUCCGGGCCUGCAGUGGGUACGGGCAGACUAGAGUGCGGUAGGGGAGACUGGAAUUCCUGGUGUAGCGGUGAAAUGCGCAGAUAUCAGGAGGAACACCGGUGGCGAAGGCGGGUCUCUGGGCCGUAACUGACGCUGAGGAGCGAAAGCGUGGGGAGCAAACAGG